This 1531-nucleotide long non-coding RNA is filed under the name Setaria viridis. RNAcentral's name for it is "long non-coding RNA (SVIR_LNC004095)". Lineage: Eukaryota; Viridiplantae; Streptophyta; Magnoliopsida; Poales; Poaceae. The record is from RNAcentral.
AGGCGAGGAAGCAGUGAACUUUAUUAAAGUACAGAACGACAUCAAACAUGAUAGUUCCUGGCCGUGUCCUUUAGGAUCCUCAAAGGACAAAUCUAUACAUUAACAUGAUAUCCACCGUUUAGCUAGAUAACAUUAUGACCAAGUUUAUGAGAGGCGAUUCUUGUACCCCUAGCCCUUACUGUUAAUUUUAAAGAGUCAUUCUAUUCGAAAGUUAUUUAAAAUUAAUCCCCUAUCUAAUAAUCAAAAUUUUUUACCUAUAACUCUCAUUUAUCAAAUAUUAUAACACAAUACAAAUAUAGAUAUGUACUUAUAUUUCCCAGUUUUGAUUAACUUUUGAUUAAUAAUUAUUCUAUAUAUUUUUUUUCAUCCACUCUCAUAUUUUUUUUCAUUAGCAUCGCACCUCCAUACAUUAUGUUUAACAUGAAAAAUCUUUAUUUCUCAUCGCUGGCUCCCAUACAUGUACAGAUAGUUUACAUGGUAACACCAUGAUGUAUAUAUACCUUAACUUAGUAUUUUUUGACAUUUCUAUUUAAUGAACACGUGGAUAAUUAGAUUAAAAUUUAGGUGCUUAAAUUAGAUUAUUUUUAAUAAUGAAAUUUGUGGGUAAUUUUGAUACAGAUUUAGGAGGAUAUUUUAAUUUACUUUUCAUAGUAACAUGUAUGGAUAACUUGAUGAAGAUUAUGGGGUUACAUUGGAUUGUUUUUUAUAAUGGUAGCGAUGAAUCAUUUAGAUAUAGGUUUAGAAGUUUACUUUAGAAUAUUUUCAUAAUGAUAGUGUUGGAUAAUUGUUUGAAAAUAUAAUAGACAAAUAGCUACGAUUAUUAGAGACUACAGGAUUGAUGCCCGGUUCUGAUUUUUAUGAGAAUUUCUAGGAUUUAUCUUUUUUUUACUAGCUCGUGUGGUGAGAAUUGAUACAUAGUCUCCAAUUAACAAAAUGAGGGAAUAUAUCUAACAAUCAAAAUUAUAACUUUGUGAUCUCUGUAAUUUAUUAAAUUUUCUAACAUACUCUCUCCGUCUUGUAAUACAAGGCAUAGAAGCACUAAAAAUUGGUCCUCAAAUACAAAGCAUUGUAUGCAUAUUUGGAUGAUUGCUCAGUUAAUUAUUCCCAAAAUUGAUAAGAUAAGGGUGGCUGAUUGGUGGAUUAUUACUAAAAUAAGUUCUUUAUUAUAUGCAACUGCCAGUAUAAGAGCACGACAAUAUGACUUCCCACUAUAACUCAGGGGUACAUGCGUUCUUUGUUACUCAUGCUAAUACGUCCUAAAAUCUCUAGGAUAUGCCUUGUAUUUUAGGACAGAGGGAGUAAGACUUAUAUAGGUAUAUAUUUAUUUCUUCAUCAGAUUGUGAUAGACUUUAAUUAGUAAUUAGUUUAUAAACUUUUUAUCCAUAUUUAUAAUCUUUCUUUUUCACUUUGCAUUACACGCUUAAUUUAUUCAAUGGACCCUAAGUUUGAUUUAUAUAUUUUGAGCAUAGAAAUAUACAACGUGUUUGGUUUGGAGAUUCAAUUGAUCCGGCAUGGAUUCGUCCGACAUGAG